GAUGAACGCUGGCGGCGUGCCUAAUACAUGCAAGUCGUGCGGAAAGGCCACUUCGGUGGUACUCGAGCGGCGGACGGCAGAGUAACGCGUAGGAACAUACCCCCAAACUGAGGCAUAACUGCUCGAAAGAGCAGCUAAUACCGCAUGUGAUCUUCGGAUUAAAGCUUCGGCGGUUUGGGAAUGGCCUGCGUCCGAUUAGCUAGUUGGUGAGGUAAAUGCUCACCAAGGCUUCGAUCGGUAGCUGGUCUGAGAGGAUGAUCAGCCUGACUGGAACUGAGAACGGUCCAGACUCCUACGGGAGGCAGCAGUAGGGAAUUUUCCACAAUGGGCGAAAGCCUGAUGGAGCAACGCCGCGUGCAGGAUGAAUGCCUUCGGGUUGUAAACUGCUUUUAUUAGUGAAGAAUAUGACGGUAACUAAUGAAUAAGGGUCGGCGUAACUACGUGCCAGCAGCCGCGGUAAU
RNAcentral lists this ribosomal RNA (461 nucleotides) under uncultured bacterium. RNAcentral describes it as "bacterial SSU rRNA". It matches the Rfam family "Bacterial small subunit ribosomal RNA", at positions 28 to 524 of the family's 1533-position model. The record is from RNAcentral.